UCCCUGCGCAAGGGAUCGUUUGGUUCUAUGUGCGAUGAAGGUCAGAGCAGUAUCUGAUAAUGUAGAAUGAUUGUAGUAAUUGUUCUAUGUGACUGAAUUGAACAGUGAUGCUCGAGUACUCCUUGAA
RNAcentral lists this ribosomal RNA (127 nucleotides) under Dictyocoela berillonum. RNAcentral's name for it is "partial 23S ribosomal RNA". The record is from RNAcentral. Lineage: Eukaryota; Fungi; Microsporidia.